ACUAACUUCAAAGGUAGAAAUAGUCAAGCAUACAAAAAGCAUCAUUUUAAACUUUAUUAAACUUCUUUUACUCUCACUUUGUAAGUUUUGGAUAAAUUUAUUUUUUAAGUUAUUUCAUGAUGGAGUCUCGCUCUUUCAUUCAGGCUGCAGUGCAAUGGUGUGAUCUUGGCUCACCGCAACCUUCGCCUCCUGGAUUCAAGUGAUUCUUCUGCCUCAGCCUCCCGAGUAGCUGGGAUUACAGACGCUUGCCACCGCACCCGGCUAAUUUUUGUAUUUUUAGUAGAGACAGGUUUUCACCACGUUGGCCAGGCUGGUCUCGAACUCCAGACCUCGUGAUCCACCCGCCUCAGCCUCCCAAAGUACUGGGAUUACAGAUGUGAGCCACCGCACCCGGCCUUUUUUUUUUUUUUUUUUUUUUUUUUUGAGAUGGACUCUUGUUCUGUCGCCCAGGCUGGAGUGCAAUAGUACGAUCUCUACUCACUGCAACCUCCACUCCCGGGUUCAAGCAAUUCUCCUGUCUCAGCCUCCUGAGUAGAUAGGAUUACAGGUGCCACCACACCCGGCUAAUUUUUGUAUUUUUAGAAGAGACGAGACUUAGCCAUGUUGGCCUCAAACUCCUGACCUCAAGUGAUCCACUUGCCUUGGCUUCCCAAAGUGCUGAGAUUACAGGCGUGAGCCACUGUGCCUGGCCUACAGAUAAAAUUUUUUUAAAAAAAGAGAUGGAGGUCUCACUGUUUCCCAGGCUGGAGUGCAGCGGUGCAAUCCUGGCUCACUGCAGCCUUGACUUCUGACCUCAAGUGAGCCUCCCGCCUCAGCCUCCCAAGUAGCUGGGAUUACACGAGCAAGCCACCACGCGCGGGUCCCAGACAUCAUUUUUAUGCAGGGUUUCCUCCAAGGUUUUCCUGGUGUCUUUGCAAAAGCUCAGGAUCGGACUUUGUCAGCAAGGUGGGUCCCUCCUCUCGGCAUAGCAAGCUUGUUUCUACCCUGGUCCCGAGAACCUCAGAGGCUGAAGCUUGAGUCCCCACCUGAAGGUAAGUUCUCAGUAGGGGAGCAGAGCCUUGGCAGCCAAGUGGAGUUGCCCAAGUGUUCGAGACCCAGGCAUGCUGGGAGUAAAAGCAUUCCUAUGAAGAACUUGACAACGGGGAGCAGGAAUCUGCUUUGGAAAGCGAGACCCCAGUUCUGAGACCUCUUCACAUAGCUUAGGGCUGAAGCCGGAGGGUCACGUGGAGGGUGGCAGCUCCCAAGGUCCAUGUACCUGGGGCUGGGCAUGGUGGCUCAUGCCUGUAAUCCCAGCACUUUGGGAGGCUGAGGCGGGCAGAUCACCUGAGGUCAGGAGUUUGAGACCAACCUGGCUAACAUGGCAAAACCCUGUCUCUACUAAAAAUACUAACAUUACCUGGGUGUGGUAGUGGGUGCCUAUAAUCCCAGCUACUCAGGAGGCUGAGGCUGGAGAAUCGCUUGAACCCAGGAGGCAAAGGUUGCAGUGAGCCAAGAUCGCACCACUGCACUCCAGCCUGGGCAACAAGAGCAAAACUCCAUAAAAAACCCAAGGUCCAUGUGCCUGAAAUGGUCCCAGCCCGCUGGGGGACACAGCAAACAUGGGUUUGCUGGGUGGUCACGUUGAGGGAUCAUCUAGGUUUCAGUUGAGUGGAAGGUUUGCUAGGAGGAGAAAGAGGCUCUUGCUUUAGGGAGUACAAGUUUGUGGGCUCAGGGCCAGAGCAUGUCCCUGGUGCUCAGAGGACAAGCCCGGACCACACUGUCCCUGGAUCCUACGCUAUAGUCAAGCCAUAGAAUUUGCUUUCUUUGGGGUGGGGGUUGGGGGGGAGCCAAUCUUUUUUUUUUUUUAAGUGACUGAUCUCGGCAUUCUGCAACCUCCGCCUCCUGGGUUCAAGCAAUUCUCCUGCUUCCACCUCCCGAGUAGCUGGGAUUAUAGGCGCCCACUACCACAUCCGGCUAAUUUUUGUAUUUUUGGUAAAGAUGGGGUUUUGCCAUGUUGGCCAGGCUGGCCUCAAACUCCUGACCUCAGGUAAUCCACCUGCCUCAGCCUCCCAAAGUGUUGGGAUUACAGGCGUGAGCCACCACGCCUGGCCAGAGUUUGCUUUCUUAAACUGAGUUUUUUGUUUCUCCUUCUCACGUCAAAGACCAAACAAAACGGGUGUGAGAGAGACAUUCAGAACCGCCACGCACAGUAGAGGGUGAGCCGGCACUCACGCCCAGGGCUCCCGAGCACCAGACAGGGUCUUCUUCCACUGUUCCAUAAUCAUGGCUAAGACUUGGCCCGUCCCACCUUCUCCGCCUUCAGCCCUCCCCAUGGCUUCCCUUUCACCAGGGGAAGGACUUUGAUAGGAGCCCAUGGGGAGAAAACCCAGUAAAAUGCAUGUAUAUUCUUAUGAAAUAUUUACAUGUGAAACAGCACCAAUUUAUCGUUGAAGAAAUUAGAAAAUAUCAAUAUGUUAAGAAAAAAAUCCGCCCAGUGAGGCAGCUCAUGCCUGUAAUCCCAGCAACUUUGGGAGGCUGAGGCAGGAGGAUCACUUGAGCCCCUAGGAGUUCGAGACCAGCCUGGGCAACAUGGUGAAACCCUGUCUCCACAAAAAAUACAAAAAUUAGCCAGGCAUGGUAGUAUGUGUCGUAGUCCCAGCUACUUGGGAGGCUGAGGC
Molecule: long non-coding RNA, 2657 nt
Filed under: Pan troglodytes (chimpanzee)
Lineage: Eukaryota; Metazoa; Chordata; Mammalia; Primates; Hominidae
Description: lncRNA (ENSPTRG00000054062.1)
Source: RNAcentral